UACGUAGGAGGCAAGCGUUGUCCGGAAUUACUGGGCGUAAAGCGCGUGUAGGUGGUGGGACAAGUCUGCUGUGAAAGCGCCUGGCUUAACCGGGCGAGGUCGGCGGAAACUGUCCGACUCGAGGACGGUAGAGGGGGGUGGAAUUCCCGGUGUAGUGGUGAAAUGCGUAGAGAUGUGGAGGAACACCAAUGGCGAAGGCAGCCUUCUGGGCCAACACUGACGCUCAUGCACGAAAGCGUGGGGAGCAAACAGG
Molecule: ribosomal RNA, 253 nt
Filed under: uncultured bacterium
Lineage: Bacteria
Description: partial 16S ribosomal RNA
Rfam family: Bacterial small subunit ribosomal RNA
Source: RNAcentral